Molecule: long non-coding RNA, 215 nt
Filed under: Mytilus galloprovincialis (Mediterranean mussel)
Lineage: Eukaryota; Metazoa; Mollusca; Bivalvia; Mytilida; Mytilidae
Source: RNAcentral
AUUUUCUCUUUCCAAUCUUUUAAAAAACAAGAGGCUCUCAAGAGCCUGAAUCGCUCACCUGAAUUUUUUUGGUUUAAUCUCUCAUCAAUGAUUAUUUUGGCUUUUCAAUUUAUUUAAAUGUUCUUUGAAUCGUCCUAUUUUCUUCAAAAGCAAAAAAAAAUCAUUUUCUCCUAUGUUCUAUUUUAGCCAUAGGAGCUAUGUUUCUUGACAUACAA